RNAcentral lists this ribosomal RNA (673 nucleotides) under uncultured bacterium. RNAcentral's name for it is "bacterial SSU rRNA". It matches the Rfam family "Bacterial small subunit ribosomal RNA", at positions 62 to 783 of the family's 1533-position model. The record is from RNAcentral.
UCGAGCGCACCUUCGGGUGAGCGGCGGACGGGUUAGUAACGCGUGGGAACGUACCCUUUUCUACGGAAUAGCCUUUGGAAACGAANAGUAAUACCGUAUACGCCCUUUGGGGGAAAGAUUUAUCGGAGAAGGAUCGGCCCGCGUUAGAUUAGAUAGUUGGUGGGGUAACGGCUUACCAAGUCUACGAUCUAUAGCUGGUUUUAGAGGAUGAUCAGCAACACUGGGACUGAGACACGGCCCAGACUCCUACGGGAGGCAGCAGUGGGGAAUCUUAGACAAUGGGCGCAAGCCUGAUCUAGCCAUGCCGCGUGAGUGAUGAAGGCCUUAGGGUCGUAAAGCUCUUUCGCCUGUGAUGAUAAUGACAGUAGCAGGUAAAGAAACCCCGGCUAACUCCGUGCCAGCAGCCGCGGUAAUACGGAGGGGGUUAGCGUUGUUCGGAAUUACCGGGCGUAAAGCGCACGUAGGCGGAUUGGAAAGUUGGGGGUGAAAUCCCGGGGCUCAACCCCGGAACUGCCUCCAAAACUAUCAGUCUAGAGUUCGAGAGAGGUGAGUGGAAUUCCAAGUGUAGAGGUGAAAUUCGUAGAUAUUUGGAGGAACACCAGUGGCGAAGGCGGCUCACUGGCUCGAUACUGACGCUGAGGUGCGAAAGUGUGGGGAGCAAACAGGAUUAGAU